RNAcentral lists this ribosomal RNA (264 nucleotides) under Klebsiella quasipneumoniae subsp. similipneumoniae. RNAcentral's name for it is "partial 23S ribosomal RNA". It matches the Rfam family "Bacterial large subunit ribosomal RNA", at positions 1 to 272 of the family's 2925-position model. Lineage: Bacteria; Pseudomonadati; Pseudomonadota; Gammaproteobacteria; Enterobacterales; Enterobacteriaceae. The record is from RNAcentral.
CGACUAAGCGUACACGGUGGAUGCCCUGGCAGUCAGAGGCGAUGAAGGACGUGCUAAUCUGCGAAAAGCGUCGGUAAGGUGAUAUGAACCGUUAUAACCGGCGAUGUCCGAAUGGGGAAACCCAGUGUGAUUCGUCACACUAUCGUUAACUGAAUCCAUAGGUUAACGAGGCGAACCGGGGGAACUGAAACAUCUAAGUACCCCGAGGAAAAGAAAUCAACCGAGAUUCCCCCAGUAGCGGCGAGCGAACGGGGAGCAGCCCAG